Molecule: ribosomal RNA, 492 nt
Filed under: uncultured bacterium
Lineage: Bacteria
Description: bacterial SSU rRNA
Rfam family: Bacterial small subunit ribosomal RNA
Source: RNAcentral
ACUAGCAGUAAGAGUUUGAUCAUGGCUCAGGACGAACGCUGGCGGCACGCCUAACACAUGCAAGUCGAACGGCCCCUUCGGGGGCAGUGGCGGACGGGUGAGUAACGCGUGGGAACCUGCCCCUUGGUUCGGGACAACCCGGGGAAACCCGGGCUAAUACCGGAUGCGCUCCUGGCUUUGGCUGGGAGGAAAGAUUGAUCGCCGAGGGAUGGGCCCGCGUCGGAUUAGGUUGUUGGUGAGGUAACGGCUCACCAAGCCUACGAUCCGUAGCUGGUCUGAGAGGAUGAUCAGCCACACUGGGACUGAGACACGGCCCAGACUCCUACGGGAGGCAGCAGUGGGGAAUCUUGGACAAUGGACGCAAGUCUGAUCCAGCGAUGCCGCGUGAGCGAUGAAGGCCUUAGGGUUGUAAAGCUCUUUCGCCCGCGACGAUGAUGACGGUAGCGGGAGAAGAAGCCCCGGCUAACUCCGUGCCAGCCGCCGCGGUAAUUC